RNAcentral lists this ribosomal RNA (721 nucleotides) under Elachyptera minimiflora. RNAcentral describes it as "eukaryotic LSU rRNA". The stretch from base 285 to 440 matches the Rfam family "5.8S ribosomal RNA". Lineage: Eukaryota; Viridiplantae; Streptophyta; Magnoliopsida; Celastrales; Celastraceae. The record is from RNAcentral.
UUUCCGUAGGUGAACCUGCGGAAGGAUCAUUGUCGAAACCUACAAAGACAGAACGACCCGCGAACAGGUGCGAAAAAUUAUUCGAGAGAUGUGCCCCCCCCAGGGAGGGCCAUUCCCCCGCGGUCCUUGGCCAAGGUCGUGGCUGAAAUUCACGUCCUUCGCCACGGGCAGAAACAAACAAAACCCCGGCGCAAGUCGCGCCAAGGAAAACCAAGAAAAGAUGCGAUCCCCUCGUCCCGGAAACGGUGCGUCGGGGAUUACAUCGUCGUUAUCAUAUUCCAAACGACUCUCGGCAACGGAUAUCUCGGCUCUCGCAUCGAUGAAGAACGUAGCGAAAUGCGAUACUUGGUGUGAAUUGCAGAAUCCCGUGAACCAUCGAGUUUUUGAACGCAAGUUGCGCCCAAAGCCGUCAGGCCGAGGGCACGCCUGCCUGGGUGUCACGAAAAGUCGUCAAACGUCCCUCCCCCCCCCACCCCUCARAAAGGAGCGGGUGCGGCGAGCGAGGGACGGCGGAUGUUGGCCUCCCGUGCGCUCGUGCGUGCGGUUGGCCCAAAAAAUCUGGUGUGCCCGCGAGGCGGCCACGACGUGCGGUGGUUGAAAGCGCACGCUCAUCCUUAACACCGUCGUGGGCGAGCCUCGUUAACGGGGAGCCAAAGGACCCGACGCGUAGCGUCAUCACGAAGCGACCCCAGGUCAGGCGGGACCACCCGCUGAGUUUAAG